Molecule: transfer RNA, 71 nt
Filed under: Phrynosoma platyrhinos (Desert horned lizard)
Lineage: Eukaryota; Metazoa; Chordata; Lepidosauria; Squamata; Phrynosomatidae
Description: tRNA-OTHER
Source: RNAcentral
GCCAGCGUGGCGUAGUGGUUUGAGCGUUGGACUACAACUCUGGAGUCCAGGGUACGAUUCCUAGCUUGACC